UACAGAGAGUGCGAACGUUGUUCGGAAUUACUGGGCUUAAAGCGCACGUAGGCGGCGUCGUAAGUGUCAGGUGAAAUCCCACGGCUCACCCGUGGAACUGCCUGGCAUACUGCGGCGCUCGAGUGUGGUAGGGGAGAGCGGAACUCCUGGUGGAGCGGUGAAAUGCGUAGAUAUCAGGAGGAACACCGGUGGCGAAGGCGGCUCUCUGGUCCACAACUGACGCUGAGGUGCGAAAGCUAGGGGAGCAAACGGGAUUAGAAACCCCCGUAGUCC
Molecule: ribosomal RNA, 273 nt
Filed under: uncultured bacterium
Lineage: Bacteria
Description: partial 16S ribosomal RNA
Rfam family: Bacterial small subunit ribosomal RNA
Source: RNAcentral